GACGAACGCUGGCGGCGUGCUUAACACAUGCAAGUCGAGCGGUAAGGCCCUUUCGGGGGUACGACGAGCGGCGAACGGGUGAGUAACACGUGGGUGACCUGCCCUCAGCUCUGGGAUAAGCCUGGGAAACCGGGUCUAAUACUGGAUAUGACUCCAUGACGCAUGUUGUGGGGUGGAAAGCCUUGUGCGGCUGAGGAUGGGCCCGCGGCCUAUCAGCUUGUUGGUGGGGUGANGGCCUACCAAGGCGACGACGGGUAGCCGGCCUGAGAGAGCGACCGGCCACACUGGGACUGAGACACGGCCCAGACUCCUACGGGAGGCAGCAGUGGGGAAUCUUGCGCAAUGGGCGAAAGCCUGACGCAGCGACGCCGCGUGAGGGAUGACGGCCU
RNAcentral lists this ribosomal RNA (389 nucleotides) under uncultured bacterium. RNAcentral's name for it is "bacterial SSU rRNA". It matches the Rfam family "Bacterial small subunit ribosomal RNA", at positions 28 to 417 of the family's 1533-position model. The record is from RNAcentral.